CUGAUCCAGUGCUUCAUCUGCAGAGUGCAAUGGAAAAUGGAACUGCACGUAGUCAGAUUGUUGGAGGAGUUCCAUUUGUUGGUAUGGGUGGUAUAGGAAAUUUAACUACCUUUUAUUAUUUGAAGGUAUGGAUCAUAUGUAUUUAAAUAUUUUCACCAUGCAAACUUUAGAAUUUUUAUUUUUAAAACUUAGAACUAUUUGUUUUCUUUGGCAUCAUAGUUAAAGGUGCAAGAGUUGCUGUCUGUCAUCAUAUCAGAAGAAUAUCACGAAGGUUCCGUAGAAUUAAGGAACUAGAUGUGCAGCAGUUAAGCACCAAUAUACUUAGGAGGCAUAGCACUAGAAAAUGGCUGCAAUAAUAUUUUGGUAGUAUCUCCACCAGAGGUUGGACACAUGUAGGCAUACGAACCAACGCCUGAUACAUUUAUCUUUCAGAUGACAAAAUUCUAUUGAAGAUUUGGAAGGAUGGUCUUUCCCACCAAUAAAGGGAGUUUUGGUAUUUGGCAUCUAACUAUGAAGCAUAUCGAGUUCUAUAGGUUAGUGCAAGCAUACCUGCUUUUCCAGGAUCAUGACAGAACUGCGGUGGAAUAAGCAAUAGGAUUCCCAAAGCAAGACAUUUUCUAGCUACUAAAUUUGAAGAUAAUGCGACUUUUAUACACUUUUUUCUAUAGAAAAUGCACAGAAAUUUUAUUUUUUUUAUGCCAAAAUCUUGUAGCAAGUUUGAGUUUGGAAGUACCUCAAUCGCCAAGAGAGAAGUUAUGUACGCCUGUGUGUAAAUUCCAAAUUUUUUUGUAUAUAUAUUUCUGUGACUCAAUAUUUCUUUUGAUAGAAACAGG
This 833-nucleotide long non-coding RNA is filed under the name Olea europaea subsp. europaea. The record is from RNAcentral. Lineage: Eukaryota; Viridiplantae; Streptophyta; Magnoliopsida; Lamiales; Oleaceae.